UAUGAAAUGAAAUAUAAGUCGCUCUGGAUAAGAGCGUCUGCUAAAUGACAAAAA
Salmo salar (Atlantic salmon) is the source of this 54-nucleotide non-coding RNA. The record is from Rfam. Lineage: Eukaryota; Metazoa; Chordata; Actinopteri; Salmoniformes; Salmonidae.